AUGACCUACUGAAUGAAAUAAAAUACUUCCAACCACCUAAAGGCAUUUCUUGUACAGAAGAGGAAGAGAUCGACAUGGAUGUACCAUUUGUCAACAUCUUACUAGUUGGACCAAGUGAAUCGGGCAAAUCUAGUUUCGUGAACACUGUCGAAUCUGUUUUCCGAGGACGGACAGUUAUAAAAUCACAUGACAGAAGAUCUAGAUCGGUUACAUUCUACACCUUCAAUGUUGGAAGAACGCGAAAGCAGCCAAAGUUCCGAAUAUGCAUAUAUCGGAGACCACACAAUGAAAAUGAUGUGACUAUAAUGGAAGCCGACUUACAAAAUAUUAUAAAAGGACACAUCAAAAAUGAUUAUGUGUUUACAGGGAAUACCAUUGCUGCAGAUAAUCAAAAUUAUGAGAGAUAUCCAAAGAUAAACGACAGAGUGCACUGUGUUGUAUUUGUGUUUGAUUCUUGUCAGCCCUUAAUCAUGAAUUCAUUUCUACAACAGACAGCUACAGUUCUUGAAACUUUGAACG
Long non-coding RNA from Mytilus californianus (California mussel), 519 nucleotides. RefSeq lists it as uncharacterized. The transcript is spliced from 3 exons. Lineage: Eukaryota; Metazoa; Mollusca; Bivalvia; Mytilida; Mytilidae. The record is from RefSeq and is a predicted model, not a curated record.